AUGUCGUUCACUGAACCACCUUUUUCCUGCAUAUAUAUCAGACAGGAGAGACACGCACGAGGAAGUAUAAACCAAGGCUCUAACCAGUGGCUACCUUGCUCGGCUAAGUGCCUCUUUGUGUCAUUCUCCUCUCGGUCGCAUGUUGAGUCAGUAAUGCCACAGCACCAACAAAGUUGCCCACAAGGACACCCCGUCAUGCUGUUCAACUACCGGCUACGCGUGUCAAAAACAAGAUGUCGCAUGCAUGCAUGCAGAAGGCGCCUCGUGGAGGAACGGGAGAAAGGGGAGGAGAGGAGGACGGCUGCGACUCGUGUCCGGCGCCAUGCAUGCAAUCGAACGACGGGAGCGCAGAGUAAGGAAGGAAUGAACGUAACGUGUGAAGGAAGGUCGUUGACAUGGACGGCGGCGAGCAUCAAAUUCAAGUCGAUGGACGGCUCGGGCUUUUCCUUUUCGGCUCCGUCCGCCCGCGGUGAAAUUGAGGUGCUCGCUCGGAAUGGGAAUCGGGGGCGGUGCUUUGGUCGGAAUCGACGGAGCGUAACCGGCAUGCAUGCCAAUGCCAUGUUGGAGGGAGAUCGAAGAGGAACUGGGAGGUGUAGGCGGAUGGCAGGGAGCUCGAGAAGAGGAGGACGGGAGAUGGGCAAAUGGACGUACUGGUCAGGUCCGGCGAUGGCGGAGCCAGCUAUCUGGCAAGGCCUGGCAGCUGCCACACCUAAAUUUCAACCGAAGGUACUAGUACACCUACGUGCUGGACAUGGACCUGGUACUACAAAAUCCGCCGCCGCCGCCGCCGCCGCUGCAGAAUCCUUCUCCGUCGCCUCCGCCGUCUUGCUCCUCCCGCCUCACCCCUCUCCUCUCCCUCCAAACCCUAACCGUGCCCGCCUCCCUACCCCCCGCCGUAGUCUCCUUCGCCGUCGGGAGCUCAGCCCGGGAUGGCUGCCGCAGGGUUCCUGGCGGGCUUCCUCCUCGGCCUUCUCGCGCUCGCGGAGGCCGAGGCGACCGCGCUGCUCUGGGUCGCCCGCCGCCUCUACCGCCGGCUGCUUUGGAGAUGGUGAAUGCGACAGUCAGGCGUUGAGGAGGGCGUGUACUAGAGCCCGGUCGUCGGAGGCGCGUGCAGCGUGGUGCGUGCUAUGUUCUGCUCUCCUCCAGCAUGUGUGCAACGAUCUGUUCCGGCCAACCGUGGAUGUAGCAAACGAGAUCAUCUUGGCUGUGUUGCAGCUGAUAAGAAAGAAGAUAGAGCUUCAGGUGAACCGUGUCGUCCCUAGGAAUUUGUUGGCCUCGAGGAUUGUUCCAGUAAGUACUUCUGAUGACAACAUGAUGUUGGGCCUCAGGGACAUGGUAACAAACAGAAAUAUAUUGAAGCACAUUGCUAUCAUCAACUCAUCGUCCACUCGUGCCUGUCGGGUCACGCUCUGCAGCAACGGCGCACGCCGCCGGCACCAUAUGAUAGCUAUGGUGUUUGAUGUUGACCGACCUUGCGCCUGUUACGAGGGGGAUUUCGUUGCUUGGAGAUCUCCUGGGAGAGGUGCUGCCUGCCGAGGUAACAAGCAUCCCUCUCCAUGUGCUCGACACUCUGUGCCCGACCCCCAACCUCCCUGGAUCCCGGCGCGCCCCUCCCACACACUCCCGACCUCCUCCCGGCGCACAUGCCACCGCCCCUGCUCCUCCCUCCUCCAGGUUCAUAUGAAGCAACAACACACCAGGUUCUUGUUUACAAGCCGGACCCUGGAGAAUCCGGAGAAGGAGAGGGAAGCGGGAGGCGGUGGCGCACAAGGUGCGAAGAUGCCCAAGGCCGGCAGGCCGCGCACGAGGGGGAAUCCGGAUCCGGAGACGCAGAGGGAAGCCAAGAAGAGAAGCCUGGCAGCAGAGGAGGCCUCUCCCGACGCACUCCAUGAUCGGGCUUCAGCCAUGUUUGCAGCCUUUGAGCACGGCGAUGCGCCUCAAUCCGAAGCAAAACCAGGUGAUUUUUGCCCCAUUUCCUCAUCACGGCAGAUUGUGGCAUGCAUGUUUGUUGGUGUUUACUUGUUCCUGCUGGACGAUUGUUGUUCUGCAGAUCGUGUCUACGAUGUGACUGAGUCCGUGACGGAGGAAUCCACUUGUCCACCCAUUCCUCUGCUCCACGAACCCUACAUCCCUGACGAGCUAGCUUCCCAUCCGGGCGCGCACCACGCCUUCUAG
Molecule: ribosomal RNA, 2175 nt
Filed under: Triticum aestivum (bread wheat)
Lineage: Eukaryota; Viridiplantae; Streptophyta; Magnoliopsida; Poales; Poaceae
Description: partial small subunit ribosomal RNA
Source: RNAcentral